Molecule: ribosomal RNA, 253 nt
Filed under: uncultured bacterium
Lineage: Bacteria
Description: partial 16S ribosomal RNA
Rfam family: Bacterial small subunit ribosomal RNA
Source: RNAcentral
UACGGAGGGUGCGAGCGUUGUCCGGAAUCAUUGGGCGUAAAGGGCGCGUAGGUGGCCCGGUCAGUUCGUGGUGAAAGCGCGGGGCUCAACUCCGCGUCGGCCAUGAAUACUGCUGGGCUGGAGCACUGUAGAGGCAGGCGGAAUUCCGGGUGUAGCGGUGGAAUGCGUAGAGAUCCGGAAGAGCACCGGUGGCGAAGGCGGCCUGCUGGGCAGUUGCUGACACUGAGGCGCGACAGCGUGGGGAGCAAACAGG